RNAcentral lists this small nucleolar RNA (206 nucleotides) under Nelumbo nucifera (sacred lotus). RNAcentral describes it as "Plant small nucleolar RNA U3". It matches the Rfam family "Plant small nucleolar RNA U3". From Rfam's summary of the family: Small nucleolar RNAs (snoRNAs) are involved in the processing and modification of rRNA in the nucleolus. There are two main classes of snoRNAs: the box C/D class, and the box H/ACA class. U3 snoRNA is a member of the box C/D class. Lineage: Eukaryota; Viridiplantae; Streptophyta; Magnoliopsida; Proteales; Nelumbonaceae. The record is from Rfam by way of RNAcentral.
AUGAUCUGUUCUAUAGGCCUAUGCCUUUGUAUCCUUGAGUUUGAAGGAGACAGGAACCCAAGUCUGGUGGAUGUAUUAAGGGCUGUAUGAUCAGACUGUGAUUAACAGCUGGCCCCCCAUUAUCUGGGUCUCCACAGAAGUAGAGGAUUGUUCUCAGUCAUCCUUAAUCUGAUGGCUGAGAUGGUCACAAGGUUGUCUGACAGACU